This 665-nucleotide long non-coding RNA is filed under the name Anser cygnoides (Swan goose). Its description in RNAcentral is "lncRNA (ENSACDG00005003632.1)". Lineage: Eukaryota; Metazoa; Chordata; Aves; Anseriformes; Anatidae. The record is from RNAcentral.
AUGGACUUCACGGUGGGCCCUGGCUCUCCCUGCAUGGGGCAAACUGGAGGCCCAGACCCACGCACGGCAGGGGAGCGUGGCCCUGGCCCCACGCGCCGUUCCCUGGUUAGCCCAUCAUCGACUCUUGAGGCAGGGAAAGAGGCACUGCUUCUUUCUGAACCAGAUUUGCAGGUCGCAGUGCCAGCUGUGAUGAGCAGAUACGCUGCUAUUGUCUGCCAUAAAUCAUUGCCUGGGGGUGUACAUGUGAUGGGAAGAUAUUUGACUGCAUCUCUUUCCCCUCUGAUUAUAGCAGCGAACCAGGCAAAUAGAAGGAAUACAAAUAAAGGAAGUAAUCGAAGCCCAGACCCUCCAAGGCAUUUAAGCAGCUUUUCCAAACCUUUGAGGAUCUCAGCACUUCAGCAAAGGAAGGUGAGGAAUCAUGAUUGUAGAUACAUCUAAGGACUGUGGUCCCUUGUUGAUGCCUUCUCCUUCAUCCCUGCAGGCAGUAGAUUGCCACUGCUUGAUGGUUGGUGUCCCAGCCGUGUUUGUGACCCACUGGAGGUGUCUGCCAGGUAUCUUUGGAUAUAGGAUGUGUUCAAGAAGGGCAUGCUUUGUCUGCAAGAAAAUACCAAAGUUACAAUAGAGCGGAUCGCUGAGCUGUUGCAGUUGGUGUUGGCAUUGAGUAG